CUUUACUGUAGCUUUGCAUUGGACUUUGAAUCGGUCUGUGUAGGAUAGAUGGGAGGCUGUGAAACCGGGACGCUAGUUUCGGUGGAGCCAACCUUGAAAUACCACCCUGAUUUAUUUGAGGUUCUAACCUUGAUCCGUGAAUCCGGAUCGGGGACCGUGCAUGGUGGGCAGUUUGACUGGGGCGGUCUCCUCCCAAAAGGUAACGGAGGAGUACGAAGGUACGCUUAGGGCGGUCGGACAUCGCCCAUAAAGUGCAAUGGCAAAAGCGUGCUUGACUGCGAGACCCACAAGUCGAGCAGGUGCGAAAGCAGGUCAUAAUGAUCCGGUGGUUCUGUAUGGAAGGGCCAUCGCUCAACGGAUAAAAGGUA
This 368-nucleotide ribosomal RNA is filed under the name uncultured organism. RNAcentral describes it as "bacterial LSU rRNA". It matches the Rfam family "Bacterial large subunit ribosomal RNA", at positions 2099 to 2465 of the family's 2925-position model. The record is from RNAcentral.